AGAGAUGUGUGAUGACGCAUAUCAAUAAGCGGAGGAAAAGAAACUAACAAGGAUUCCCUUAGUAACGGCGAGUGAAGCGGGAAGAGCUCAAAUUUGAAAUCUUCAAGGUUCUACCUCGACGAAUCGUAGUUUAUAGAAGUGUUUUCUGUUAGUAGAGUGGCAAAAGUUCUUUGGAAUAGGACAUCAUAGAGGGUGAGAAUCCCGUAUUUGGUCAUUCUUUCUAGCUUUGUGAUACACUUUCAAAGAGUCGGAUUGUUUGGGAAUGCAGUCCAAAAUGGGUGGUAAAUUUCAUCUAAAGCUAAAUAUUGGCGAGAGACCGAUAGCGAACAAGUACCGUGAGGGAAAGAUGAAAAGAACUUUGAAAAGAGAGUUAAACAGUACGUGAAAUUGUCAAAAGGGAAGCGUUUGACACCAGUGUUGUUUUUCCGAAAAUCAAUUACUGAAUGGUUUGAUUUUUGAGAAGUUAUGACUUCAUCGGCUUGCUUCUCUCUUUAUGAAACUUUCUUAAUGCACUUUUCGGUUAACAAGUCAACAUCAAUUUCUCUUGUUGUAAAAGGUUAAGAGGAAGGUGGCUUUACUUUCGGGUAAAGUGUUUAUAGCCUUGUACCUCUGCAAUCGGAGAGAUUGAGGUCUGCAGCGUAGAUCCUUCGGGGUUAGAUACAUUUGUGCUAAGUUAUAGCUUUUCAUAGACAACUUGUUGACUAUGUUUAGUCUUGUAGCUUACUCGCUUAUGCUAUUUUACCUACGCUUAGGAUGUUGAAGAUGUAGCACAUCAU
RNAcentral lists this ribosomal RNA (776 nucleotides) under uncultured Neocallimastigales. RNAcentral's name for it is "partial large subunit ribosomal RNA". It matches the Rfam family "Eukaryotic large subunit ribosomal RNA", at positions 23 to 635 of the family's 3401-position model. Lineage: Eukaryota; Fungi; Neocallimastigomycota; Neocallimastigomycetes; Neocallimastigales. The record is from RNAcentral.